This 165-nucleotide ribosomal RNA is filed under the name uncultured Flavobacterium sp. RNAcentral describes it as "partial 16S ribosomal RNA". It matches the Rfam family "Bacterial small subunit ribosomal RNA", at positions 367 to 529 of the family's 1533-position model. The record is from RNAcentral. Lineage: Bacteria; Pseudomonadati; Bacteroidota; Flavobacteriia; Flavobacteriales; Flavobacteriaceae.
GUCAAUGGGCGCAAGCCUGAACCAGCCAUGCCGCGUGCAUGAUGACGGUCCUAUGGAUUGUAAACUGCUUUUGUACGGAAAGAAACACUCCGACGUGUCGGCGCUUGACGGUACCGUAAGAAUAAGGUUCGGCUAACUCCGUGCCAGCCCCCGCGGUAAUAUAAU